This is a long non-coding RNA of Tripterygium wilfordii, 1159 nucleotides long. RefSeq lists it as uncharacterized. The record is from RefSeq and is a predicted model, not a curated record. Lineage: Eukaryota; Viridiplantae; Streptophyta; Magnoliopsida; Celastrales; Celastraceae. The transcript is spliced from 3 exons.
GACGUGCUUCUCCGUUGCUUUUGCUUUUAUUUGUUUCCAUGUAAUCGUUUUAUGUUAAUUCAUGGCCGAUCGAAACGUUACUCUGUUUGAUUUGUUAGGCGAGAAAGGAAGGGAUUGAUUCGUCGCGUUGCGUGACAGAGAGAGGACGAGAGUGUUGAAUGAAUGGAUUUUUUUUUCUUUUUCUGAUUUUCUCCGUCGUUACUGAUCAAAUCAUCAAACCCUAAUUUGUUGAUUUUUGGUAAACUUUCUUUAUCUGGUACCGUUUGGUUUACCAGAUCUGAGCGACUUAUGCCUGGAAAAACUUUUGUAGGUUUCUCGAUCUCUCCCUUUCUUUUUCUCACGAAAAUGCUUUUCGUUUUCCUUUUGCACGACUGCACGUACGAAGACCAUCGUUCUCUCGCUUUCUUCUCUCGUUUGAUUUGUCGUAGCUUUCAAUCUCUUAAAUGUGCGUCUCCGUUGCUUUUAUUGUUUCGAUGUAAUCGUUUCAUGUUCAUGGCCGAAACUUUACUGUUCGAUUUGUUUGGCGAGAGAGAGCAGAGAGGACACUUGUAAACGUCGCACCGACACCUGUGCGCAUUGCAUGAGAGAGAGAGAACGAGAGAGUGUCAAAUGAAUGGAAGGGAUUGAUUCGGCGUUUUCAAGUUUUUCUUUUUUCUGUGGUUACUAAUCCAACCCUAAUUUGUUGAUUUUUGGUAACUUUCCUUAUUUGGCAUCGUUUAGCUUUUCCAGAUCUGACCGACUUAUGCCUGCAAUUUUUAUUUUUUAUUUUUAUGUUUCUCGAUCUCUCCCCUUUUUUCUUACGAAAAUGCUUUUGGUUUUCCUUUCCAUUUAUGGAUCGCCUUUAAAUAAAUCUUCUGCAGAUAUGUUUGUUCGUUAUUCUUCUCCGUUGUUGUGUUGUUCCGGGACAUAGAAAUUGACAGAAGAGAAGAGAGUGAGCACACACAAGGUGCAACAAUUCUUACAUGGAAGAUCAAUGGAGCACUGAGGAAUUGUAAAUGAAUUGAGAAAUACUUGCUGUUUAUUACAUCCAAGUUAGUUUAAGAGAGAAAAAAUGAUUGCUAGACCUCUCCACAAAAGAAGUUAAUAUCGUUGGAAAAUAGAGCCAGAGGUUGCCGUAAAAUAGGUACCAGAGUCUCUGUGUGGGGAUCACAUUCAGGCA